GGAUUAGCUCAGUUGGUUAGAGUGUGAUACUAAUAAUGCCAGGGUUGUGGGUUUCAUCCCCAUAUGGGCCA
This 71-nucleotide transfer RNA is filed under the name Ficedula albicollis (Collared flycatcher). It matches the Rfam family "tRNA". Rfam says of the family: Transfer RNA (tRNA) molecules are approximately 80 nucleotides in length. The record is from Rfam by way of RNAcentral. Lineage: Eukaryota; Metazoa; Chordata; Aves; Passeriformes; Muscicapidae.